CUAACACAUGCAAGUCGAGCGGCAGCGGAAAGUACCUUGCUACUUUGCCGGCGAGCGGCGGACGGGUGAGUAAUGUCUGGGAAACUGCCUGAUGGAGGGGGAUAACUACUGGAAACGGUAGCUAAUACCGCAUAACGUCGCAAGACCAAAGAGGGGGACCUUCGGGCCUCUUGCCAUCAGAUGUGCCCAGAUGGGAUUAGCUAGUAGGUGGGGUAACGGCUCACCUAGGCGACGAUCCCUAGCUGGUCUGAGAGGAUGACCAGCCACACUGGAACUGAGACACGGUCCAGACUCCUACGGGAGGCAGCAGUGGGGAAUAUUGCACAGUGGGCGCAAGCCUGAUGCAGCCAUGCCGCGUGUAUGAAGAAGGCCUUCGGGUUGUAAAGUACUUUCAGCGGGGAGGAAGGCGAUAAGGUUAAUAACCUUGUCGAUUGACGUUACCCGCAGAAGAAGCACCGGCUAACUCCGUGCCAGCAGCCGCGGUAAUACGGAGGGUGCAAGCGUUAAUCGGAAUUACUGGGCGUAAAGCGCACGCAGGCGGUCUGUCAAGUCAGAUGUGAAAUCCCCGGGCUCAACCUGGGAACUGCAUUCGAAACUGGCAGGCUAGAGUCUUGUAGAGGGGGGUAGAAUUCCAGGUGUAGCGGUGAAAUGCGUAGAGAUCUGGAGGAAUACCGGUGGCGAAGGCGGCCCCCUGGACAAAGACUGACGCUCAGGUGCGAAAGCGUGGGGAGCAAACGGGAUUAGAUACCCUGGUAGUCCACGCCGUAAACGAUGUCGACUUGGAGGUUGUGCCCUUGAGGCGUGGCUUCCGGAGCUAACGCGUUAAGUCCACCGCCUGGGGAGUACGGCCGCAAGGUUAAAACUCAAAUGAAUUGACGGGGGCCCGCACAAGCGGGGGAACAUGGGGUUUAUUUCGAUGCACCGCGAAAAACCUUUCCUACUCUUGACCUCCAGAAAACUUUCCA
This 965-nucleotide ribosomal RNA is filed under the name Enterobacter sp. ME46. RNAcentral describes it as "bacterial SSU rRNA". It matches the Rfam family "Bacterial small subunit ribosomal RNA", at positions 48 to 1002 of the family's 1533-position model. Lineage: Bacteria; Pseudomonadati; Pseudomonadota; Gammaproteobacteria; Enterobacterales; Enterobacteriaceae. The record is from RNAcentral.